This 290-nucleotide unclassified non-coding RNA is filed under the name Hevea brasiliensis (rubber tree). The record is from RNAcentral. Lineage: Eukaryota; Viridiplantae; Streptophyta; Magnoliopsida; Malpighiales; Euphorbiaceae.
CAUGGAAUAUCAAACACUGUUGGCAUUAUCUUGCUGUUGGUUUACCCAGUAUGGGCACUGGUACUCCACUUCAUCUAGGCGAUUAUAAUAGCCCAAUGAAUUGGACUAGUCAACUGGAACUUGAACAAUCAUUUUCAUGUCUUAUGCUUAAAUCUAUUUCUAAGAUUUGAAAUCUUAUUCCUCAGCCUGUUGUUCAAAUUUUUACGAAUCCAGCAUUUGUUUGCGCUGAUCUUUUUCGAUCCAGCUUAAUUAUAUGAUGUAAUAUUGAUAAUCCAUGCUCGUUUCUCAAA